CCUACGGGCGGCUGCAGUGGGGAAUAUUGCACAAUGGGCGCAAGCCUGAUGCAGCCAUGCCGCGUGUGUGAAGAAGGCCUUCGGGUUGUAAAGCACUUUCAGCGGGGAGGAAGGCGUUAAGGUUAAUAACCUUGGCGAUUGACGUUACCCGCAGAAGAAGCACCGGCUAACUCCGUGCCAGCAGCCGCGGUAAUACGGAGGGUGCAAGCGUUAAUCGGAAUUACUGGGCGUAAAGCGCACGCAGGCGGUCUGUCAAGUCGGAUGUGAAAUCCCCGGGCUCAACCUGGGAACUGCACUCGAAACUGGCAGGCUAGAGUCUUGUAGAGGGGGGUAGAAUUCCAGGUGUAGCGGUGAAAUGCGUAGAGAUCUGGAGGAAUACCGGUGGCGAAGGCGGCCCCCUGGACAAAGACUGACGCUCAGGUGCGAAAGCGUGGGGAGCAAACAGGAUUAGAUACCCCAGUAGUC
This 465-nucleotide ribosomal RNA is filed under the name uncultured Klebsiella sp. RNAcentral's name for it is "bacterial SSU rRNA". It matches the Rfam family "Bacterial small subunit ribosomal RNA", at positions 338 to 795 of the family's 1533-position model. Lineage: Bacteria; Pseudomonadati; Pseudomonadota; Gammaproteobacteria; Enterobacterales; Enterobacteriaceae. The record is from RNAcentral.